Molecule: ribosomal RNA, 604 nt
Filed under: Bjerkandera adusta
Lineage: Eukaryota; Fungi; Basidiomycota; Agaricomycetes; Polyporales; Phanerochaetaceae
Description: eukaryotic LSU rRNA
Rfam family: 5.8S ribosomal RNA (bases 214-367)
Source: RNAcentral
UGGCGACUGCGGAGGUCAUUAUCGAGUUUUGAAUGGGUUGUCUGCUGGCUCGCAAGGGCAUGUGCACGCCUGUCUCAUCCACUCUCAACUUCUGUGCACUUUUCAUAGGCCGGCUUGUGGGUGCGUUCGCGCACUUGUAGGUGUCGGGCUUAUGCUUUACUACAAACGAUUCAGUUUUAGAAUGUCAUACUUUGCUAUAACGCAAUUAUAUACAACUUUCAGCAACGGAUCUCUUGGCUCUCGCAUCGAUGAAGAACGCAGCGAAAUGCGAUAAGUAAUGUGAAUUGCAGAAUUCAGUGAAUCAUCGAAUCUUUGAACGCACCUUGCGCUCCUUGGUAUUCCGAGGAGCAUGCCUGUUUGAGUCUCAUGGAAUUCUCAACCUUCAGCUUUAUUGAUGAAGGCUUGGACUUGGAGGUCGUGCCGGCUCUCGUAGUCGGCUCCUCUGAAAUGCAUUAGUGCGAACGUUACCAGCCGCUUCAGCGUGAUAAUUAUCUGCGUUGCUGUGGAGGGUAUUCUAGUGUUCACGCUUCUAACCGUCUUCGGACAAAUUUCUGAACUCUGAGCUCAAAUCAGGUAGGACUACCCGCUGAACUUAAGCAUACAA